RNAcentral lists this unclassified non-coding RNA (232 nucleotides) under Platismatia herrei. RNAcentral describes it as "partial contains 5.8S ribosomal RNA, internal transcribed spacer 2, and large subunit ribosomal RNA". Lineage: Eukaryota; Fungi; Ascomycota; Lecanoromycetes; Lecanorales; Parmeliaceae. The record is from RNAcentral.
CGCACAUUGCACCCCUUGGUAUUCCGGGGGGCAUGCCUGUUCGAGCGUCAUUACACCCCUCAAGCGCAGCUUGGUGUUGGGCGUCACCCGCGCGGUGCGCCCCAAACGCAGUGGCGACGCCGUCUGGCCUCGAGCGCAGUAACGCAUCUCGCUCUGGGGUCUGGCGUGCGCCGGCCAGCAACCACAUCUCAAGGUUGACCUCGGAUCAGGUAGGGAUACCCGCUGAACUUAA